RNAcentral lists this ribosomal RNA (253 nucleotides) under uncultured bacterium. Its description in RNAcentral is "partial 16S ribosomal RNA". It matches the Rfam family "Bacterial small subunit ribosomal RNA", at positions 524 to 776 of the family's 1533-position model. The record is from RNAcentral.
UACGUAGGGUGCAAGCGUUGUCCGGAAUUAUUGGGCGUAAAGAGCUCGUAGGCGGUUUGUAGCGUCUGCUGUGAAAACCCGAGGCUCAACCUCGGGCCUGCAGUGGGUACGGGCAGACUAGAGUGCGGUAGGGGAGAUUGGAAUUCCUGGUGUAGCGGUGGAAUGCGCAGAUAUCAGGAGGAACACCAAUGGCGAAGGCAGAUCUCUGGGCCGUAACUGACGCUGAGGAGCGAAAGCAUGGGGAGCGAACAGG